GUCAUUUGCAGGCACUUAAGAUUAAAGUUAUGUUCAAUGUCAGGGGACGGGUGUCACCUGUAUGCAGUAGUGAAUAUUUAGCAUAUGAUUUCCUUAUUGAAGUUUGAAGAGAAAACUGCACCUAAGAGCACUUGAAAUAACCCUCUGAUGAUCUUGCACUUCUUAUUUUAUAAACUACCUCAAGUAUUACAGGGACUUUUCUACUCGGUGUCACUUACAUAGCGAUGUUAUAUUUUCUACAGGUAUGCCAAGAAGAACAGAAUAGAACUGUGGUAAGAAAUGGUUAACCUACUAAUGGGUGGAAGAAAGAAGCUUUAACAUGCAAGUGAAUCAUCUUGACUCACACCAGGAAUUUAAUCCAAAUACAAACAGAUCACAUGGAAUGGGGAUCUGUGCUCGGCUGACCUUCAGUACAGAUCUCUGUCUUAGACCUACAUCUGGAACCUGACCCAGAGAAACCCAAAAUAGUCUGUCUUCUGGAGAGCAUACAGGCUUUGUCCAUGAACCAUGAGCACAAAACCCUCAGUAACCUGUGACUGAAAACUGAACACCAUGGGUAUCCACACAGUAAGGAUGCCUACCUUUGUGGCCCACAAUUAUGGAAUUUAGUCUCCUCAUUGUACUCCAAAUGAACCCCUGUGGCCUGGAGACUAGAAGUGAGUGGCAUCACUAGAUCACAUGUCUUUCUAAGUCUAGAGAAGCAAAUGUUCAGGUGCUUUUAUUCAGUAUACCUGUUACUUAUACACUUUAUUGUCCUUGUAAUCUCAUACUUCACUCUCAGAGGAUGCCACAUGGAAAGUUCAUAUUAAUUCAUGGAGGUGUAUCUUGUUUGUAUCAUUUCAAAUGGACUUUCUAGAAUAAUUUACUUCUCUGCUUCUUGAGUUCAAUGGUUACAUUAUAAUCUAUCAUGAUAUAAAAUGUGAAUAUACUCCUUCAGCAGAUACACACACACAUACGAGUGUAAAAUCUCAUGUAGAUCUGAACAAAUUGUGGAACAUUCAUAAAUGAUAAAAUGAGUUCAAUGAGCUCUGACUGCUUGGGGUAAAGAGGAAGACAGGAAAUGAACACCAAGCCAUGUCUAUGGGGCCAGCAGCACUACUGUAUGUUUCAUCUACAUAAAUGACACUCUGAUACAAUGGAUAAAUGUGAUUUACCACAAACUACUAACUACCUCUGAUAAGGUUUCAUAGCUGUCUAGCCUUCAGAAUGUCUCGAGAUUGCCAUUAUAAUAUCCCCCAGUAAGGCUGCACUGAGGCUAGAACCCACCACCUUGGAAAUGCUCUUCUCUGAGUAGAAAAGGACAUUUAGUGGAUUCAUGAAUAAAUUAUAGCAUUCCAAUAAUUGCUAUUGAAUUUAUUCAGUUAUUCUGAGGUUCAGUUAAUGUGUACAAUUUCAGUCAAUAUACUGAGUCAGGAAUUGUAUGAGCCCAUUCCUCAUUUAAUAGGCUCAUCUGGGAAGAUUAUAAAGACCCUCAUAAUUUAUAAGCAUCCAUCUAUAAUAGAGUGGGUCAGAGAGGCAAAGAAAUGGAGGCAAACAUUUCCAAUAGAAUAUGGUCCCCAUGAUGGUAAAGUACUUCAUACUACCCUAUCCAGGUGAAUGGAAGAUGAGUAGGGGGAAGACAAUGUCAAUACACUUUUGUUAUGAAUUGAAGAAUUAAACUUGAAUGCUCCUUACAGCAGAUCACAGUCUAAGUGUAACACACAUUUUCAUGAUAGAAAUUUGUAUAAAAUAAAACAUAAAGUCUUUAGACAGUUACUAACCACAAGCAUAUACACAAGUAAUUCUUCCAGGCCCCGUCUCAAAUGGUAUGUAUACUCUUUUCACCAGUUUUGAAUAUAUUUUACAAAAUUCUUUAUCCACUUAGCAGUAUGUCAUUUGAGUUUUUAAUUUAUCUCUUGGCUAUUUAUAUAUUUCCAUAAGACUAAAAUGUCAAAAAAUUAUAGGUGUUUUUGUAUAUUAUAUAGGUACUUUUUCAAAAGGUCUAUAAAAAUAAUUUACUUACAUUGUUGAAGUAUUCCUCUUUUAAGUUUGGAGUUGACGGAUGUGAUGCCCACACAAGUGCAAUAGUGGUACACAGCCAUGGUGAGGAAUCAGUUGCUCUUGA
Jaculus jaculus (lesser Egyptian jerboa) is the source of this 2104-nucleotide long non-coding RNA. RefSeq lists it as uncharacterized. The transcript is spliced from 3 exons. The record is from RefSeq and is a predicted model, not a curated record. NCBI's taxonomy places the organism in Eukaryota, Metazoa, Chordata, Mammalia, Rodentia, Dipodidae.